AGAGUUUGAUCAUGGCUCAGGACGAACGCUGGCGGCAUGCCUAAUACAUGCAAGUCGAACGAAAUCCAUUCAGUGGCAACACUGAUGAAGAUUUAGUGGCGAACGGGUGCGUAACACGUGAGCAACCUGCCCCGGAGACCGGGAUAACAGUGGGAAACCGCUGCUAAUACCGGAUGUCCCCACGAUCUCGCAUGGGAUUGUGAGGAAAAGGAUUCCGCUCCGGGAGGGGCUCGCGGCCUAUCAGCUUGUUGGUGGGGUAACGGCCUACCAAGGCGACGACGGGUAGCUGGUCUGAGAGGACGAUCAGCCACACUGGGACUGAGACACGGCCCAGACUCCUACGGGAGGCAGCAGUAGGGAAUCUUGCGCAAUGGGCGAAAGCCUGACGCAGCAAUGCCGCGUGGGGGAUGAAGGCCUUCGGGUUGUAAACUCCUUUUAGUGGGAACGAAAAUGACGGUACCCACAGAAAAAGCCCCGGCUAACUACGUGCCAGCAGCCGCGGUGAUACGUAGGGGGCAAGCGUUGUCCGGAUUCACUGGGCGUAAAGAGCUCGUAGGUGGUUUGGUAAGUCGGGUGUGAAACCUCCAGGCUCAACCUGGAGUCGCCACUCGAUACUGCCAUGGCUAGAGUCCGGUAGGGGACCAUGGAAUUCCUGGUGUAGCGGUGAAAUGCGCAGAUAUCAGGAGGAACACCAGUAGCGAAGGCGGUGGUCUGGGCCGGUACUGACACUGAGGAGCGAAAGCGUGGGGAGCGAACAGGAUUAGAUACCCUAGUAGUCC
Molecule: ribosomal RNA, 779 nt
Filed under: uncultured bacterium
Lineage: Bacteria
Description: bacterial SSU rRNA
Rfam family: Bacterial small subunit ribosomal RNA
Source: RNAcentral